GACGAACGCUGGCGGCGUGCUUAACACAUGCAAGUCGAGCGGUAAGGCCCUUUCGGGGGUACACGAGCGGCGAACGGGUGAGCAACACGUGGGUGACCUGCCCUCAGCUCUGGGAUAAGCCUGGGAAACUGGGUCUAAUACUGGAUAUGACUCCACGGUGCAUGUCGUGGGGUGGAAAGCCUUGUGCGGCUGAGGAUGGGCCCGCGGCCUAUCAGCUUGUUGGGGGGUGAUGGCCUACCAAGGCGACGACGGGUAGCCGGCCUGAGAGGGCGACCGGCCACACUGGGACUGAGACACGGCCCAGACUCCUACGGGAGGCAGCAGUGGGGAAUCUUGCGCAAUGGGCGAAAGCCUGACGCAGCGACGCCGCGUGAGGGAUGAC
This 382-nucleotide ribosomal RNA is filed under the name uncultured bacterium. RNAcentral's name for it is "bacterial SSU rRNA". It matches the Rfam family "Bacterial small subunit ribosomal RNA", at positions 28 to 412 of the family's 1533-position model. The record is from RNAcentral.